RNAcentral lists this long non-coding RNA (616 nucleotides) under Mytilus galloprovincialis (Mediterranean mussel). Lineage: Eukaryota; Metazoa; Mollusca; Bivalvia; Mytilida; Mytilidae. The record is from RNAcentral.
CUGUUAUGAUACUAUUAAGAGUUUCAUUGAACUGGUUUGGUACUUGCGAAACAGGGAUAUCGUCGACUGAAUCCGACGAAUUCAAGUCUUUAAAGAAAUCAAAGAGAACAUCGAUGGAAAUUUUUUGACUACGUUUUUCUCUUUUUUCAUUUAAAAUUUUCCAGAACUCCUUAGAGUUACUGUUUUUUAAAUUUUGCAUCUUUUUUCUAAAAGUCUUUCUAUACUCUUGUAUAGAACAAUCCAUCUGCUUUUUAUACUUUCUCUCUGCAUCUUUCAUUUGAACUUGAUUAUCUGUUGUUUUGUUGUUUUUAUAUCGUCGUUUUGCAAUUCGUGAGCACUUUCUUUGCUCCCAGCAUUUUUUGUCAAACCAUGGUUUGCUUUCCUUUGUGUUCUUUUUAACCUUCGUGUUAUAAGUAAUGGUACCUAGUACCUUUUCUGCUGAUUCCAAAAGUAUUUCAUUUAUAUGUUCGGACAAUUUAUUUACAGAAUUUUGCGACAAAACACUUGAAUGCAAAAACACUAAUUCAUUUUCUAAUUCUGCAAUCUUAUUUCCAUCAAUGUUCUCAAUGAAAUCUUGUUUUUUUUCAUUAUCCCAUUUUUUUAACUUAAUAUUUUC